AAUCAUGCCUAAAGCCCAUCAGAUUUUAUGCCCAUUUACAACAAAUAAAAAUAGAAACUUGUUAAUAUUUUCGGUUGCCAAGGAUCGAACCAACCACCUUCUACCUUUAAUAGCAUAGAAAACAAUUAGACUUCAAGACGUUCUUUAAAAUUUGAUGCCCUCUAAAAUACAUAUAAAUCUUUUUACCUAAAGCAUCUAUUUGGUGGGCUUUAGGUCUGGGUCAAGCUUGACGGCCUAUCAGGCCAAGGGCUCGGCCCAAAUAAAGAAGGCUCAGCCCAUAAAACUUAAGAGAGAAUUCCUCCUUAACUCUUUGAUCUCUUACUUUCUGGUUUUUCGUUAUGUACUUUCGGUCUUUUGUUCUGUACUUUUGGUUUUAUGUUUUAUUAAUUACUAUUCUCAUUCAUCGUUGAUAAAAAAGCGGCCCCAUUCUCCCAAAAAAUCCCUUAGUUACUUAUUAUUACAACUUCAUUACAAAAAAUUGGCGUCCACCAUGGGGCUAGGAAGAGUUUUCUCCUUUAUUGAAAAUCAUAUACGAUAUUGCCAGUAAUCCUAGAAAGCCACGACGAGAUGACGGAAACCUCGAACAAACAAGUAGAUGAGUUCAGUACACCUUGUGCCGCACCACCAGCUCGGCCAACGACGCCACCUCCUGUCGUCACUCUUGACACAGUUCCCGCCGAGCUCGAAGAAACGACACCACGAGGAACCAGUCUCGACGAAGUCAUUCGAUCUUUCCUCAACCGACUCGACCUACAUGAUGUAAGAACUGCCGAACACAUCAACGCAAUCGUCGCUGCCCAGGAGGCCUCCCAGAAUCAGAUCAAGUAACUAUAGUCCUCUACAGCACGAGUCGUUCGACAGCUCAUCGAUAACAAAAAAAAUUUACCGGAACAAACUCCUAUCACGGAAUGACCAGUGAAUCGACAAAAUAGGCCGGCCUC
Molecule: long non-coding RNA, 941 nt
Organism: Arabidopsis thaliana (thale cress)
Lineage: Eukaryota; Viridiplantae; Streptophyta; Magnoliopsida; Brassicales; Brassicaceae
Product: other RNA
Exons: 1
Source: RefSeq